UUCCAUUCUCUUGCUUAACCUGUUGGUGAAUAUUUCCCUAAACAUGGGCUGUACAUGGGGGCAGCUGAGGUGCCAGCAGUUCUCCAGCCUCUGUGGUCUUGAAUUAUCUCAGAGCCCUUGGCUGAAAUAGUGCUUCAGGACCUGCACCAUGGUACCCUCACUAUCUCUGUUAGGGAGCUCAGCAGCCACAUCGCAAUGUUGCCUCUAGACUCCAGAUUAUUAACUCUGCAGAUGCCCACCAGGUCACAUUAAGUGCUCUGCUGAGGUUCAGACAGGAACCUUCAGUACUUACAGUGCCCUUCUGACCUGGACCAGAGCUCAUAUUUGCCAGGACACCCUCCAGCCAGCUAACCAGUAUUUAAGACAACUUCAGCCAGACACAGCACUCUAUAAAGCUCCUAAGCAGAAGUAAUAACAGAAGUGACUGUUAAAGAAACAGAGUAAACAAAGUUUUUCCUACCUUUCUGUUCUACCCCUUUAUCUUACUUUCACCUAAGUUUCUCUUUAGCUUUCUCUUCUUCUGGUGGGUUCCAUUCUUUCAGGCUGAGGCCCAUUACUCUUCUAACUCUGUCCUAGUAUCCUAUGAGCCAGGAAACUUCCCAACUUUUUCUUCCCCCCUCUAUCCUACACUACUUCUCUUUCAAAAAGUAGAAAAAACACAACCCUUCCCUUGAAGCCCCCUCCUCCCCAUCCUUUUAAAGGAUUGUUGUUCCCAGCCCAGGCAGCGAGUGGCUUUGAUUGCUGGUGACUGGGAUCAGCUGAGGAAGGGAGGGAUCCGUGAUUCAUCACAGAUAAAGCUAAGUGCAGAUACCAGCCAUUUUUCUUCUAUGCCAAAAGCUUUCUGUGCUGGGGGCAGCUGCUAGUAGGCUGCCUGUGCAUACAGGGAUGCUUUCUAAGAUCAAGACCACUCAUCCCCAAUUGUCCAGGCAGCCAAUAAGGCAGGAUAAAUGAGGAUCACCAGAAAGUUGCCUGCUCUGCCAUGCUGUGCUCCCGUAGUACAUCCCAGCCCCUUGGGUGCCAUACGCAGCCACAUCGCCGACAUCCCCCUGCAGAUGGCCUCCCUGGCUCAGCCACGUACCUGCUUAGCUUCAAAUCAGAGGGAUCCACGAGCCUUUAUUUUUAUUCUACUUAUGCCAGGACACAUUUUUGCAGGGGCUGAGUUUCCAUCUGCAUUCCCCAAGAGCGGGCCGGGCCUGGUUUCUCAGGAAGGAAGAGCUGCGGGGUGUUGUCUGCGCUGAGGCAAACCUGGCGACCCGCGAGGGGCUGGCUGACUGGAAGGGCUUGGCUCGGAUGCGCCUGGCUUGCCCAGGAGAAAGAUAAUAAACAGAAUGAGGAGAGCA
This 1340-nucleotide long non-coding RNA is filed under the name Anas platyrhynchos platyrhynchos (common mallard). RNAcentral describes it as "lncRNA (ENSAPLG00000025917.1)". Lineage: Eukaryota; Metazoa; Chordata; Aves; Anseriformes; Anatidae. The record is from RNAcentral.